RNAcentral lists this ribosomal RNA (852 nucleotides) under uncultured bacterium. RNAcentral's name for it is "bacterial SSU rRNA". It matches the Rfam family "Bacterial small subunit ribosomal RNA", at positions 8 to 858 of the family's 1533-position model. The record is from RNAcentral.
AGAGUUUGAUCUUGGCUCAGGAUGAACGCUAGCGGCAGGGCUUAACACAUGCAAGUCGAGGGGCAGCAUGUCCAGCAAUGGAUGAUGGCGACCGGCGGAAGGGUGCGUAACGCGUGAGCAACAUGCCCUAUACAGGGAGAUACACCAGGGAAACUUGGUCUAAUAUCCCAUAGCAUUCAUUGAAGGCAUCUUUAAUGAAUUAAAGCUUCGGUGGUAUAGGAUUGGCUCGCGUGACAUUAGCCAGAUGGUGAGGUAACGGCUCACCAUAGCAAUGAUGUCUAGGGGUUUUGAGAGGAAGGCCCCCCACACUGGGACUGAGACACGGCCCAGACUCCUACGGGAGGCAGCAGUGAGGAAUAUUGGACAAUGGAUGGAAAUCUGAUCCAGCCAUGCCGCGUGCAGGAAGACGGCCUUAUGGGUUGUAAACUGCUUUUAUACGGGAGCAAUAAGGGUUACGAGUAAUCCGAUGAGAGUACUGUAUGAAUAAGGAUCGGCUAACUCCGUGCCAGCAGCCGCGGUAAUACGGAGGAUCCGAGCGUUAUCCGGAAUUAUUGGGUUUAAAGGGUGCGUAGGCGGCCAUUUAAGUCAGCGGUGAAAUUUUGCAGCUUAACUGUAACAGUGCCGUUGAUACUGUUUGGCUAGGAUUUGGUUGUAGUGUGCGGAAUGUGUGGUGUAGCGGUGAAAUGCUUAGAUAUCACACAGAACACCGAUUGCGAAGGCAGCACACUAAGUCAUUAUUGACGCUGAGGCACGAAAGUGUGGGGAUCAAACAGGAUUAGAUACCCUGGUAGUCCACACUGUAAACGAUGAUAACUCGCUGUCGGCGAUACACAGUCGGGGCCAAGCGAAAGC